RNAcentral lists this ribosomal RNA (460 nucleotides) under uncultured bacterium. RNAcentral's name for it is "partial 16S ribosomal RNA". It matches the Rfam family "Bacterial small subunit ribosomal RNA", at positions 338 to 795 of the family's 1533-position model. The record is from RNAcentral.
CCUACGGGAGGCAGCAGUGGGGAAUAUUGGUCAAUGGGCGCGUGCCUGAACCAGCAAAGUAGCGUGAAGGAUGACUGCCCUACGGGUUGUAAACUUCUUUUAUAAAGGAAUAAAGUGAAGCACGUGUGCCUUUUUGUAUGUACUUUAUGAAUAAGGAUCGGGCAAUGCCGCGCCAGCAGCCGCGGUAAUACGGAGGGUCUGAGCGUUAGCCGGAUUUAUUGGGUUUAAAGGGAGCGUAGAUGGGUUGUUAAGUCAGUUGUGAAAGUUUGCGGCUCAACCGUAAAAGUGCAAUUGCUACUGGCAGCCUGGAGUGCAGUUGAGGUAAGCGGAAUUCGUGGUGUAGCGGUGAAAUGCUUAGAUAUCACGAAGAACUCCGAUUGCGAAGGCAGCUUACUAAACUGCCACUGACAUUGAUGCUCGAAAGUGUGGGUAUCAAACAGGAUUAGAUACCCUUGUAGUC